AAACGAAUGCUAAUACCGGAUAUUAUGAUUGGGUCGCAUGAUCUGGUUAUGAAAGCUAUAUGCGCUGUGAGAGAGCUUUGCGUCCCAUUAGUUAGUUGGUGAGGWAACGGCUCACCAAGACGAUGAUGGGUAGCCGGCCUGAGAGGGUGAACGGCCACAAGGGGACUGAGACSCGGCCCUUACUCCUACGGGAGGCAGCAGUGGGGAAUAUUGGACAAUGGACCAAAAGUCUGAUCCAGCAAUUCUGUGUGCACGAUGAAGUUUUUCGGAAUGUAANGUGCUUUCAGUUGGGAAGAAGUCAGUGACGGUACCAACAGAAGAAGCGACGGCUAAAUACGUGCCAGCAGCCGCGGUAAUACGUAUGUCGCAAGCGUUAUCCGGAUUUAUNGGGCGUAAAGCGCGUCUAGGCGGCUUAGUAAGUCUGAUGUGAAAAUGCGGGGCUCAACCCCGUAUUGCGUUGGAAACUGCUAAACUAGAGUACUGGAGAGGUAGGCGGAACUACAAGUGUAGAGGUGAAAUUCGUAGAUAUUUGUAGGAAUGCCGAUGGGGAAGCCAGCCUACUGGACAGAUACUGACGCUAAAGCGCGAAAGCGUGGGUAGCAAACAGGAUUAGAUACCCUGGUAGUCCACGCCGUAAACGAUGAUUACUAGGUGUUGGGGGUCGAACCUCAGCGCCCAAGCUAACGCGAUAAGUAAUCCGCCUGGGGAGUACGUACGCAAGUAUGAAACUCAAAGGAAUUGACGGGGACCCGCACAAGCGGUGGAGCAUGUGGUUUAAUUCGACGCNACGCGAGGAACNUUACCAGCGUUUGACAUCCCAAGAAGUUAACAGAGAUGUUUUCGUGCCUCUUCGGAGGAACUUGGUGACAGGUGGUGCAUGGCUGUCGUCAGCUCGUGUCGUGAGAUGUUGGUUAAGUCCCGCAACGAGCGCAACCCCUUUCGUAUGUACCAUCAUUAAGUUGGGGACUCAUGCGAGACUGCCUGCGAUGAGCAG
This 994-nucleotide ribosomal RNA is filed under the name Fusobacterium ulcerans. Its description in RNAcentral is "bacterial SSU rRNA". It matches the Rfam family "Bacterial small subunit ribosomal RNA", at positions 154 to 1165 of the family's 1533-position model. Lineage: Bacteria; Fusobacteriati; Fusobacteriota; Fusobacteriia; Fusobacteriales; Fusobacteriaceae. The record is from RNAcentral.